This 465-nucleotide ribosomal RNA is filed under the name Vreelandella stevensii. RNAcentral's name for it is "partial 16S ribosomal RNA". It matches the Rfam family "Bacterial small subunit ribosomal RNA", at positions 338 to 795 of the family's 1533-position model. Lineage: Bacteria; Pseudomonadati; Pseudomonadota; Gammaproteobacteria; Oceanospirillales; Halomonadaceae. The record is from RNAcentral.
CCUACGGGGGGCUGCAGUGGGGAAUAUUGGACAAUGGGGGCAACCCUGAUCCAGCCAUGCCGCGUGUGUGAAGAAGGCCCUCGGGUUGUAAAGCACUUUCAGUGAGGAAGAACGCCUGGUGGUUAAUACCCAUCAGGAAAGACAUCACUCACAGAAGAAGCACCGGCUAACUCCGUGCCAGCAGCCGCGGUAAUACGGAGGGUGCGAGCGUUAAUCGGAAUUACUGGGCGUAAAGCGCGCGUAGGUGGCUUGAUAAGCCGGUUGUGAAAGCCCCGGGCUCAACCUGGGAACGGCAUCCGGAACUGUCAAGCUAGAGUGCAGGAGAGGAAGGUAGAGUUCCCGGUGUAGCGGUGAAAUGCGUAGAGAUCGGGAGGAAUACCAGUGGCGAAGGCGGCCUUCUGGACUGACACUGACACUGAGGUGCGAAAGCGUGGGUAGCAAACAGGAUUAGAUACCCGUGUAGUC